This 495-nucleotide ribosomal RNA is filed under the name uncultured bacterium. RNAcentral's name for it is "partial 16S ribosomal RNA". It matches the Rfam family "Bacterial small subunit ribosomal RNA", at positions 28 to 505 of the family's 1533-position model. The record is from RNAcentral.
GAUGAACGCUGGCGGCGUGCCUAAUACAUGCAAGUCGAGCGAACGGACGAGAAGCUUGCUUCUCUGAUGUUAGCGGCGGACGGGUGAGUAACACGUGGAUAACCUACCUAUAAGACUGGGAUAACUUCGGGAAACCGGAGCUAAUACCGGAUGAUAUUUUGAACCGCAUGGUUCAAAAGUGAAAGACGGUCUUGCUGUCACUUAUAGAUGGAUCCGCGCUGCAUUAGCUAGUUGGUAAGGUAAUGGCUUACCAAGGCAACGAUGCAUAGCCGACCUGAGAGGGUGAUCGGCCACACUGGAACUGAGACACGGUCCAGACUCCUACGGGAGGCAGCAGUAGGGAAUCUUCCGCAAUGGGCGAAAGCCUGACGGAGCAACGCCGCGUGAGUGAUGAAGGUCUUCGGAUCGUAAAACUCUGUUAUUAGGGAAGAACAUAUGUGUAAGUAACUGUGCACAUCUUGACGGUACCUAAUCAGAAAGCCACGGCUAACUACG